This 1433-nucleotide ribosomal RNA is filed under the name metagenome. Its description in RNAcentral is "bacterial LSU rRNA". It matches the Rfam family "Bacterial large subunit ribosomal RNA", at positions 1499 to 2925 of the family's 2925-position model. The record is from RNAcentral.
CCUAUAUCCCGGUUUAGUUGGAAGUAGGCGUGCGUUAGGCAAAUCCGGCGCACAUAUACCGAGGCCAACGAUCGAGCCAGCUUGCUGGUGAAGUGACUGAACGAGGUUCCAGGAAAAGCCACUAAGCUUCAGCUACACACGACCGUACCGCAAACCGACACUGGUGCGCGAGAUGAGUAUUCUAAGGCGCUUGAGAGAACUCAGGAGAAGGAACUCGGCAAAUUGACACCGUAACUUCGGAAGAAGGUGUGCCCUAUUAGUGUGAAGUGAACAACGGAGCAUGAAUGGGUUGCAAAAAAUCGGUGGCUGCGACUGUUUAUUAAAAACACAGCACUCUGCAAACACGAAAGUGGACGUAUAGGGUGUGACGCCUGCCCGGUGCUGGAAGAUUAAAUGAUGGGGUGCAAGCUCUUGAUUGAAGUCCCAGUAAACGGCGGCCGUAACAAUAACGGUCCUAAGGUAGCGAAAUUCCUUGUCGGGUAAGUUCCGACCUGCACGAAUGGCGUAACGAUGGCCACACUGUCUCCUCCUGAGACUCAGCGAAGUUGAAAUGUUUGUGAUGAUGCAAUCUCCCCGCGGAAAGACGGAAAGACCCCAUGAACCUUUACUGUAGCUUUGUAUUGGACUUUGAACAGAUCUGUGUAGCAUAGGUGGGAGGCUUUGAAGCAGGGUCGCUAGAUCUUGUGGAGCCAACGUUGAAAUACCACCCUGGUGUGUUUGAGGUUCUAACCUAGGUCCAUUAUCUGGAUCGGGGACAGUGCAUGGUAGGCAGUUUGACUGGGGCGGUCUCCUCCCAAAGCGUAACGGAGGAGUUCGAAGGUACGCUAGUUACGGUCGGACAUCGUGACGAUAGUGCAAUGGCAUAAGCGUGCUUAACUGCGAGACUGACAAGUCGAGCAGAUGCGAAAGCAGGACAUAGUGAUCCGGUGGUUCUGUAUGGAAGGGCCAUCGCUCAACGGAUAAAAGGUACUCUGGGGAUAACAGGCUGAUACCGCCCAAGAGUUCAUAUCGACGGCGGUGUUUGGCACCUCGAUGUCGGCUCAUCUCAUCCUGGGGCUGUAGCCGGUCCCAAGGGUAUGGCUGUUCGCCAUUUAAAGAGGUACGUGAGCUGGGUUUAAAACGUCGUGAGACAGUUUGGUCCCUAUCUUCCGUGGGCGCUGCAGAUUUGAGGAAGCCUGCUCCUAGUACGAGAGGACCGGAGUGGACACACCUCUGGUGUAUCGGUUGUCACGCCAGUGGCAUUGCCGAGUAGCUAAGUGUGGAAGAGAUAACCGCUGAAAGCAUCUAAGCGGGAAACUCGUUUCAAGAUGAGAUCUGCCGGGGCCUUGAGCCCCCUAAAGAGUCGUUCAAGACCAGGACGUUGAUAGGUCAGGUGUGGAAGCGCAGUAAUGCGUUAAGCUAACUGAUACUAAUUGCUCGUGCGGCUUGACCCU